This 460-nucleotide ribosomal RNA is filed under the name uncultured bacterium. RNAcentral's name for it is "partial 16S ribosomal RNA". It matches the Rfam family "Bacterial small subunit ribosomal RNA", at positions 338 to 795 of the family's 1533-position model. The record is from RNAcentral.
CCUACGGGAGGCAGCAGUGAGGAAUAUUGGGCAAUGGACGCAAGUCUGAACCAGCCAUGCCGCGUGCAGGAAGACGGCUCUCUGAGUUGUAAACUGCUUUUGUACGGGGGUAAACUCAGAUACGCGUAUCUGUCUGAAUGUAUCGUACGAGUAAGGAUCGGCUAACUCCGUGCCAGCAGCCGCGGUAAUACGGAGGAGUCAAGCGUUGUCCGGAUUUAUUGGGUUUAAAGGGUGCGUAGGCGGUCGGAUAAGUUAGAGGUGAAAUCCCGAGGCUCAACUUCGGAAUUGCCUCUGAUACUGUUAGGCUAGAGAGUAGUUGCGGUAGGCGGAAUGUAUGGUGUAGCGGUGAAAUGCUUAGAGAUCAUACAGAACACCGAUUGCGAAGGCAGCUUACCAAGAUACGUCUGACGUUGAGGAACGAAAGCGUGGGGAGCAAACAGGAUUAGAUACCCUUGUAGUC